RNAcentral lists this ribosomal RNA (908 nucleotides) under Pholiota lenta. RNAcentral describes it as "partial large subunit ribosomal RNA". Lineage: Eukaryota; Fungi; Basidiomycota; Agaricomycetes; Agaricales; Strophariaceae. The record is from RNAcentral.
CAUAUCAAUAAGCGGAGGAAAAGAAACUAACAAGGAUUCCCCUAGUAACUGCGAGUGAAGCGGGAAAAGCUCAAAUUUAAAAUCUGGCAGCCUUCGGUUGUCCGAGUUGUAAUCUAGAGAAGUGUUAUCCGCGCUGGACCGUGUACAAGUCUCCUGGAAUGGAGCGUCAUAGAGGGUGAGAAUCCCGUCUUUGACACGGACUGCCAGGGCUUUGUGAUGCGCUCUCAAAGAGUCGAGUUGUUUGGGAAUGCAGCUCAAAAUGGGUGGUAAAUUCCAUCUAAAGCUAAAUAUUGGCGAGAGACCGAUAGCGAACAAGUACCGUGAGGGAAAGAUGAAAAGAACUUUGGAAAGAGAGUUAAACAGUACGUGAAAUUGCUGAAAGGGAAACGCUUGAAGUCAGUCGCGUUGUUUGGGAAUCAACCUUGCUUUUGCUGGGCGUACUUUCCAGAUGACGGGCCAGCAUCAAUUUUGACCGUUGGAUAAAGGCUGGAGGAAUGUGGCAUCUUCGGAUGUGUUAUAGCCUCUGGUUGUAUACAACGGUUGGGAUUGAGGAACUCAGCACGCCGCAAGGCCGGGUACUUGUACCACGUUCGUGCUUAGGAUGCUGGCAUAAUGGCUUUAAUCGACCCGUCUUGAAACACGGACCAAGGAGUCUAACAUGCCUGCGAGUAUUUGGGUGGAAAACCCGAGUGCGUAAUGAAAGUGAAAGUUGAGAUCCCUGUCGCGGGGAGCAUCGACGCCCGGACCAGACCUUUUGUGACGGAUCUGCGGUAAAGCWUGUAUGUUGGGACCCGAAAGAUGGUGAACUAUGCCUGAAUAGGGUGAAGCCAGAGGAAACUCUGGUGGAGGCUCGUAGCGAUUCUGACGUGCAAAUCGAUCGUCAAAUUUGGGUAUAGGGGCGAAAGACU